Molecule: ribosomal RNA, 457 nt
Filed under: uncultured Lachnospiraceae bacterium
Lineage: Bacteria; Bacillati; Bacillota; Clostridia; Lachnospirales; Lachnospiraceae
Description: bacterial SSU rRNA
Rfam family: Bacterial small subunit ribosomal RNA
Source: RNAcentral
ACAAGCGGUGGAGCAUGUGGUUUAAUUCGAAGCAACGCGAAGAACCUUACCAACGACUUGACAUCCCCUGACAGCUGUUGAAAGGCAGUGUCUCUUCGGAGCAGGGAGACAGGUGGUGCAUGGUUGUCGUCAGCUCGUGUCGUGAGAUGUUGGGUUAAGUCCCGCAACGAGCGCAACCCUUAUCCUUAGUUACCAGCACGUAAAGGUGGGGACUCUAGGGAGACCGCCGGGGACGACCCGGAGGAAGGUGGGGACGACGUCAAAUCAUCAUGCCCCUUAUGUCUUGGGCUACACACGUGCUACAAUGGCCGCAACAGAGGGAAGCGAGAGCGCAAGCUGGAGCAAAACCCUAAAAAGCGGUCCCAGUUCGGAUUGUGGGCUGCAACCCGCCCACAUGAAGUCGGAGUUGCUAGUAAUCGCGAAUCAGCAUAUCGCGGUGAAUGCGUUCCCGGGCCUU